This 490-nucleotide ribosomal RNA is filed under the name uncultured bacterium. Its description in RNAcentral is "partial 16S ribosomal RNA". It matches the Rfam family "Bacterial small subunit ribosomal RNA", at positions 30 to 507 of the family's 1533-position model. The record is from RNAcentral.
AUUGGACGCUGGCGGCAGGCCUAACACAUGCAAGUCGAACGGUAACAGGAAGCAGCUUGCUGCUUUGCUGACGAGUGGCGGACGGGUGAGUAAUGUCUGGGAAACUGCCUGAUGGAGGGGGAUAACUACUGGAAACGGUAGCUAAUACCGCAUAACGUCGCAAGACCAAAGAGGGGGACCUUCGGGCCUCUUGCCAUCGGAUGUACCCAGAUGGGAUUAGCUAGUAGGUGGGGUAACGGCUCACCUAGGCGACGAUCCCUAGCUGGUCUGAGAGGAUGACCAGCCACACUGGAACUGAGGCACGGUCCAGACUCCUAGGGGAGGCAGCAGUGGGGAAUAUUGCACGAUGGGGGAAAGCCUGAUGCAGCCAUGCCGCGUGUAUGAAGAAGGCCUUCGGGUUGUAAAGUACUUUCAGCGGGGAGGAAGGGAGUAAAGUUAAUACCUUUGCUCAUUGACGGUACCCGCAGAAGAAGCACCGGCUAACUCCGUG